CAACUCUUGACAUCCCCCUGAUCGGUACAGAGAUGUGCCUUCCCCUUCGGGGGCAGGGGUGACAGGUGGUGCAUGGUUGUCGUCAGCUCGUGUCGUGAGAUGUUGGGUUAAGUCCCGCAACGAGCGCAACCCUUGUCCUUAGUUGCCAGCAUUCAGUUGGGCACUCUAGGGAGACUGCCGAUGACAAACCGGAGGAAGGUGGGGAUGACGUCAAAUCAUCAUGCCCCUUAUGAGUUGGGCUACACACGUGCUACAAUGGACGGUACAAAGGGCGGCGAAGCCGCGAGGUGGAGCCAAUCCCAGAAAGCCGUUCUCAGUUCGGAUUGCAGGCUGCAACUCGCCUGCAUGAAGUCGGAAUCGCUAGUAAUCGCAGGUCAGCAUACUGCGGUGAAUACGUUCCC
Molecule: ribosomal RNA, 401 nt
Filed under: uncultured bacterium
Lineage: Bacteria
Description: bacterial SSU rRNA
Rfam family: Bacterial small subunit ribosomal RNA
Source: RNAcentral